CCUUUAAAAAAAUCUGCCUCACCUUCCAGCCAGGUACAUUUCUACGGCAACAAAUCCUUCAGAACUAACCUGCUCAGGGGCAGGCUAACUAAGGGCUAACUCCAUUUACCCUGAAUGAAGUUUCUGUGCCGCAAGUUAAAGACCAAUGAAAUCAGAUUCCCUUCCUCUCGCAAAGAUUUUGUCAUCAUCCCCUUCAUUUGAGGAAGAAGAUAGUAAUGGCAGAAUGCAUUUGAAACUUUACGCACAGUAAAACUUUUGUAUGACAAAUAAAAUUAUGACAUUAUUUUAUCGAUAGGAGUGGGGAAAAAAGGUGCUCAUGCAUUGAUAACCACACCAAAGAAGGCAUUAACGAUAAGUAAUAAAACCCUGAGUAGAUCUAGAUUGCAUCAUAGGAUACCCCUCUGGUGUGGUUUGGUUGUUAUUUAGGGUUUACUGUAAUCAUGAUCAGUUCCUUAACUUACAUCCUGCAGUAUUACAUUCCUCCAAACCCCAACCCCCUCCCCUCCCCUCCCCUCACACACACACACUUCACCCCUAUAGAAUGUGAACCAAAAAUGAUUGAAAUGUAGGACAUGACGUCUAACAAUGAUGGUCAUAUCAACAAUAAAAUUAUAUAAAUGUGCUGAUGUGUCCACUGGGUACUGACAUACUGAGAGACAGGACACCUACCCCAGCGUGAGUACAUGGAUGGAAAUGUACAUUAUGCAUUCAGCUUUUUUCUUUUUGAAUCUUGUUUGUACUGCGGCAGAUGGUGAAAUGGUGUGGGUUUAUCAUGUGUGCUUUCUGUUGUUUAGUUUGAUGAUUAGUAGUGUGUGUUUGUGAUUGCUGUUGGGUUUUUCAACACCUCCCCCAUCCCCGUGUUUUUGGACUAUUCUAAUCUAUUCUACUCAAUUAUAUUCUAUAAUGUGCUUAUGAAGUCGGUGGUAGCUGUGCUGUUGUUGCUGUUCAGUGGUGUGUGUGUGUGUGUGUGUGGGGCUGAGGAUCCCAAUUCCAUUCAGGUCCGGUUCAAGGCCCUGGAGGAGUAACCUAAGGUCCUCCUGAAGAUCCUAAUAUAAUUUAAAGGACAUACUGAAUGCCAGUGAGACCAAAGUGAAGGCUGGAGACCAAGGUGGAGGCUUUCCAGACCAAUGAGAAGGUUCUGAAGACCAAGGUGGAGGCUCUUAAAGCAACAGGGAGAUUGAGCAGAGCAAGGUUGAGGCUCUUAAAAGUAACGUAGAGACUGGAGAGCUAGGGAGGCUCAAAAGACCAGGAAUGACGGCAUCUUCACAGCUUCAAUCAGGGCAGUCUACUACUAUCCCAGACUGUAGCUUUAAAAGCAUUUUGUUUAGAGCAAUCUUUGUAUGCCUGUAUAGAUGCAGAGGUCAGAAGAAAGACUACACAAUAAGUGCAACAAUGACUAGGAGACAGACUAACAGGACUCCUUGAAAUGGGGUGCUGUCAUGCAGUACACUGCCAAGCAGAGGAGAACAAACUCCUACGGAUCAAAGCACAUCAGAACCCUAGACGUGCCCACCUUUACCUCGACUUCAAUGAACAUCCGAUGUUACUGCAACAAAGGCCCCAGAGUUUAACCUGAUCACAUGACCUUACCACAAAAAACUCUGGGCCAUAUCUAUAAAUUAGUUCGUCAAAUGGCCAAAAUCUCAAUAGCUAGUAUAACUAAAGAGACACUAGGCAUCAAUAGUUCCAACGUAUUCAGAUAAAUACCCAUAUUCACUAUUUUUCCCUCUGGUUUCUGAUGUAACAUGUACCUCCCAAAAUAAAAAUACUGUCGUAAUAUUG
Molecule: long non-coding RNA, 1782 nt
Organism: Coregonus clupeaformis (lake whitefish)
Lineage: Eukaryota; Metazoa; Chordata; Actinopteri; Salmoniformes; Salmonidae
Exons: 2
Source: RefSeq, a predicted model, not a curated record